Long non-coding RNA from Myotis davidii, 1720 nucleotides. RefSeq lists it as uncharacterized. The transcript has 3 exons. The record is from RefSeq and is a predicted model, not a curated record. NCBI's taxonomy places the organism in Eukaryota, Metazoa, Chordata, Mammalia, Chiroptera, Vespertilionidae.
AAAUAGAAUGCCUUCCCAUUUGUCCUCCAGGAAGAAGAAAUGCCAGAUGUAGAAAUUGACAUUGAUGAUCUUCUUGAUGCAGACAGUGAAGAAGAGAGAGCUUUAAAAUUACGGGAAGCUCUCGUAGACUGCCACAAACCAACAGAGGAAUUUAUCAAGGAGCUGCUCUCUCGGAUAAGAGGCAUGAGGAAACUGAGCCCCCCGCAGAAGAAGACUGUGUAAUUCUGCACAGGGUGGAGCUGCCUGGAGACCAAGACUGGGUCCCAGGAACUGGACUUUACUCAGACUAUUUCACUUUUUUCGGGGAGGGGGCAUCUGUUAGACAUUUAUUCAAGAGCGUUCUGUUUUUUUUGUUUUUUAAGGGUUUCAUUAGUGUACUAUUUUAAUAGCAAAGAUACCACUCUGGUUUCAGCCCAACCAGGAUUGUCAAACCAGACAGACAUCAUCCAAGGAUGGGCUGGGCUAGGCAGUAUUUUCUUCGAGAAAUCCGAUGUUGAUGACCUAACUAUACAGGGAUGAUAGUUUAUUUGUUUUUUUAACAACUAGUUGGGUAAUCCUUCUUUCUUAAGUUCUGCAUUUGACUCAGACGUCGAAUUUCUCAUGCUUGUAUAUAUCUACACACAACAGAGUUCCAGCGUAGAUGUGAGCUUUAUUUCACAUUGAUGAAAUGAACGUGUGGUCGUCCUUUAACUGGAGGUCACAGCACAGUGUGUUGGCCAGAGGCCACUAGAUAUUCUUCAUGUGAGUGCUGCUGACCUCCAACAUCCGCUUUAUGCACCAAAGUGAAAGAAUCCAGUGUAUCCGUUAUUUGAAUGAGCUACACUACAAAAGUGUUGAGUUGGUCAAGGGCUUAAUUUAUGGACUUUCUAUUAUUUCAUUCAUUGGGAUGCUUUGCCAGGUCGUGUACUUAUUGCCUCAUUUGUGGUACUUUAAAGUUUUACGAAUCCUUUGUUGGAAGAACUACUGGGAUGUCUAGAGAGGAGCCCUCGCUAUCUGAGCAGUGUUUUCUGUGGAAAAUGGGAGCACUGGGUAGUGAUGAAUUCUCUGCUUUAAACCAGGUACUGUGUAAUAUUCUCUCCAUGAAAGCAGGUCAAAAGGAAGCCAGCAGAUUAUGCAUCUCCCUUCUUAGAAGUAGGUUCUGGUCACUUCUGUGCCUGGGCAGCAGCAGACCAGAGGGGUGUGCUCAGUGGUGAGCAGAGGGAGAGGUGGGGAAGCCUCUCCCACUCUCAAGAAAGUUGGCAGAGGAGCAUUGGCUGGUCGGGAAGCUCGGUGGAGAGUGCAUUUCUGAUUUCUCUAGUGGCAUAUGGUGAGGACUCCGGCUCUAGGCACCCGGAUUCCCUUGCCUGGAGCUAGGCCUGGGGCACCUGCCCUGCCCCUUUUAGUUACACACCGGCUCCUUGGGGGAGGCUCAAAAUUCAGAUGGACUCAGGUGGAGUCAAAGGUCAGAGUAGGAACUCUUGCUUCCCUCCAGGAGGUCCCGCUGCCUCCCCACAGAGGCCCCACCUACAGUGAGCUAUGUCUGGGGGGGUCCUGUCAGAGCACAGGGGUCAGGCAUUUUCUAUCAAGGGUGCUUUGAACAUAUUUUAUUUUUUAAAAGAACUAUGUUUGUGAAUUUUAUGUAUACUGGCAAGCUUUUGAAAAUGUAUUUAAUUUUGUAAUGUUUACCAAUGAUUUCUUUACAAGCUAUUUACUCAAAUAAAUGGAGCUGCUUACAACUCUG